GCGCUUGUAGCCCAAUCGGCAGAGGCGCCUCGUCGAGAGCGAGGUCAGUGGAGGUUCGAGUCCUCCCAGGCGCACCA
Molecule: transfer RNA, 77 nt
Filed under: Planctomycetota bacterium
Lineage: Bacteria; Pseudomonadati; Planctomycetota
Description: Planctomycetes bacterium (activated sludge metagenome) tRNA-Leu
Rfam family: tRNA
About the family: Transfer RNA (tRNA) molecules are approximately 80 nucleotides in length. Their secondary structure includes four short double-helical elements and three loops (D, anti-codon, and T loops).
Source: RNAcentral